This 774-nucleotide ribosomal RNA is filed under the name uncultured Neocallimastigales. RNAcentral's name for it is "partial large subunit ribosomal RNA". It matches the Rfam family "Eukaryotic large subunit ribosomal RNA", at positions 23 to 626 of the family's 3401-position model. Lineage: Eukaryota; Fungi; Neocallimastigomycota; Neocallimastigomycetes; Neocallimastigales. The record is from RNAcentral.
AGAGAGAGACAUGCGCGCAUAUCAAUAAGCGGAGGAAAAGAAACUAACAAGGAUUCCCUUAGUAACGGCGAGUGAAGCGGGAAGAGCUCAAAUUUGAAAUCUUCAAGGUUUUACCUUGACGAAUUGUAGUUUAAAGAAGUGUUUUCUGCUGAAGUUUUGGUAAAAGUUCUUUGGAAUAGGACAUCAUAGAGGGUGAGAAUCCCGUAUUUGACCAUUAUUUUCAGCUUUGUGAUACACUUUCAAAGAGUCGGAUUGUUUGGGAAUGCAGUCCAAAAUGGGUGGUAAAUUUCAUCUAAAGCUAAAUAUUGGCGAGAGACCGAUAGCGAACAAGUACCGUGAGGGAAGAUGAAAAGAACUUUGAAAAGAGAGUUAAACAGUACGUGAAAUUGUCAAAAGGGAAGCGUUUGACACCAGUGUUGUUUUCUCGAAAAUCAAUUAAAAAUGGCUCGAUUUUGUAUUGCUUGAGACCUUAAAAGCUCACUGUACAUUUUUCGUGUCUUUUUUAAUGCACUUUUCGUUUAACAAGUCAACAUCAGUUUCUUUUGUUGUAAAAGGGUCAUUGGAAGGUGGCUUUCUUUUCGGAGAAAGUGUUUAUAGCCUUUGGCCUCUGCAAUCGAAGAGACUGAGGUCUGCAGCGUAGACUCUUCGGGGUUAGAUACACUUGUGCUAAGUUAUAGCUUUUUAUAGACAACUUGUUGACUAUAAUUAGUCUUGUAGCUUACUCGCUUAUGCUAUUUUACCUACGCUUAGGAUGUUGAGUCGUAGAGCACGCAG